Alligator mississippiensis (American alligator) is the source of this 1555-nucleotide long non-coding RNA. RefSeq lists it as uncharacterized. The record is from RefSeq and is a predicted model, not a curated record. The transcript is spliced from 3 exons. Lineage: Eukaryota; Metazoa; Chordata; Crocodylia; Alligatoridae.
GGAAGAAGCUCCUGCAGAGAAGACUUGCCCAGAGAUGCUGUGGCUGCCUGAUACUUUACUUAAAGGACUAAUGGGGAUCCAGCAACUCAUCAGGUUUCCUUUUCUAAACAACCCCAGCACAUGAUCCCACCGGACCCACUUCUGAUGGCCACCCCAGUUCCAUACACAGGACAGACUCCUAGCAAUUAGAGGUUAAUCCUACAUAUACACACAUCUGUUUACCUGCUCUAACUAAUGAUAAUGGAUCAUGCAAGAUGUGAGGAACACAAUCUUUCUUCAAGCAAUGUUUUGAGUAGCAAUCCUCUCCCUCUAAUGGAAAUUAGUCAAGAUGUACAUGGAGGAUUGAUUUCUGAAGAUACACCCAUCCUCUGUCAUCGGAGACAAAAAAAACCCCAAGUGAUUAACUUCCUGGAAUAUGAAAACAACUUGUAAAGGAGAUAGUAUGUGGUGUUGGGAUUUUUUUAAAAUCAAGAGAUACAAUUCAUGAAGAAAUUGGUGAAAAGAAUCCAAACCAGUUGUUCUUCAGAUACAGGGACUGCAUCCAGAGGAUCCCAUGGCCAAGAAAUUUAGGGGAAACCUCUGAGAAGUGUCCACACAGAGCAGUUGGGGGAACCCAAUCCAAUAUUGUUUUGGGGUACAUGGUGCAGUGUGCAAGGUGCAGGGUACUGGCACAGUGCAGUGAUGGCAGGGGCCUAUAUCCAUAUUACAUAAUCACAAUGCAUCUUUAUUUCAGAACAUGAAAUAGUAUUACGCAUACUCAACUGAGGUGUAAUACAAGUUUAUAAUACUUAAAACUGUUGUAGUCAACUCAUAUUAUCAGGGAAUGCAUCUUAAGUGAAGUCUAGAGUACAAUGGUAUUGUAGUGUUUUGUUUGUUUUUGCCACACAUUAUGAGCUCAGGCCACCAAUCUGUAACAGAACAGCCUACUACUCACAAAGUGAGUUGUGAUUCCUCAUGAGUAAGGGAGCAAAAUUUGGCCCUACACGAUUGCUCUGUAUGUUGCUUUAUAUAGAUGUUUCACCAUGUUCUGUGUUUAAAAUAAGUAGCUAAAUAUAGUCCAUUGUAUUAGAUGAUAUACAACACUGGCCGUGUCUAUACGAUACAAUGACUGCACAGUAGCUCAUUAUUACUGUUCAGUAGCAUUGCAUGGCACAAAGCAUGAUGUGACACUACUGCACAGUAGUAACGAGCUACUGAGCACUCAACACCAAAAAGCCAUUUGGGGAUGCUACUGCACAGUAAGUCUAGUUGCUGCAUAGUCUCUUAGUAUUUGUGUAUGCAAGUACUAAAUGACUGUGCAGUAACAACUGCACCGUCAGUGUGUCAUAUAGACGCAGCUAUUGACCACUAAAAUCAAAAUGUGACAGAAUGAUAUAUGUAUGUGUGUGCAUGUUUGCGGAGGAAGACCACCAGUGUAUGCGGUGCUCAUUAUAGGCAUGGCUGGUGAACUCAGACUGGUGGGGAGGUGGAGUGUCCUGUGGGGAAGGGUUUGCAGCCGACUGGGAGCAGAGGGGUUUGCCGCUUCCCCGCUGACAUCCGGAGUGCCUGGCUGGCU